This is a long non-coding RNA of Amphiprion ocellaris (clown anemonefish), 2550 nucleotides long. The record is from Ensembl. Lineage: Eukaryota; Metazoa; Chordata; Actinopteri; Pomacentridae.
CCGGCCCAAACUCCUCGCAGCUCAAACUUUUACAAGCUCGGCGUUCGCGAGCAGGAAGAGAGAGACGCAGAGUAAGAUCUGCAAAGGGAGUCUGCAGCUCCUCUUCUCUCCUCUUCUUCGAACUGAUGUCCAUGAAAUGACUCAUGCUUGCUUUUUUUCCCCUCCUAAUUUCAUGUACUAAUUUUCAGCAUCGCCCACUGACAUGCUCCGGAAAGAAGAAAGGAUUUAAAGUAGAAAACAAUUGCUUGAAAAAAAAUAAAACGAAGAGUCGGUGACGUCACACAGGAAGCUGUCUUGGAUAUUGCCUGAGGAGAGACACUGAUGACUGUCUGAGCCAUGGACACUCUUGAACAUUAGGGCUCUAUCCGGGGACUCAAACAUCGGACUAUCAUUUUUGGAUCUGCUUGUUUUCAGAGACCGACCCCUCAGUGUUGCCCCCUUGUUUUCGCUCCAGAGCUCCAUGAAACAGUUUGUUAUUGGACGCUGUGUUGCGGUAGACAUCCCAGACCACCAGUUUGGUCUGUUUGUGUUGACAGCAAGCAGCGGUUUCCAUUCACAGCCACACUCGAAUCAAAUCAGAACCUCUCCGCUCUCGUGUGCAACAAAUCCGAAUAAAAACACAGGCAGGUGCAGAACGACUAAAGACGUCCGGAGUGACAACCGAAAAUGGGAACUGUGAGGCAUGUACUACCUGGGAAUGAAGCCAACUGCUGACAAAAGGCUUUACUGCGCUGCUCUGAGACAAGCCUUUAACUCAUUUGCUCUGAAACGCUCCAGGACGAUCUGGCACUGAACUGUCUGGCCAACUGGAGAUAAAUCUGUCAAGCCUCUUGGCUUCGUUACAGCAUAGCAUUUCAACCAGCAAGCCUCCACUGCUACCUGCACAACUAUCUGUCCUUAAGGCUGAGGUAGUAGAUUGAAUAGUUGUGGGGUUCAUGUCCUCCUUUUGAGAUAACUAUACAAUCUACUGUCUUUCCGAAGGAAACAGGUUAAUCUUCCAUGAUGCCGAAGGCGGUACGUGCAAGGGAAGCUCUGUGGAUAAAAAGAACACAAAGACUGAGUAAAUACCACAUGAAACAAAGAACUUAACCCACAGCUGUUGAGAUGAAACUGCAGACACAACAAAGACUCUACAGUUUUACAAGAUGCAACAGUGGAACUGGUCUACUGUGACAUGUUCUGAAGUUGGUACACAACGACCAAAGUCUUGCUUUGAAGGUUGUAAAUUUGUGCUCGAAGUUGAGCCUAGCAAGGUGAGGUAGUAGGUUGUAUAGUUUGUGGGAUGGAGUAAAUCCUAUUCAGGUGAUAACUAUACAGUCUAUUACCUUCCUUGAGAGGUACAAUGAGUGCUUGGGAUGAAGCUCACUCAGUGAUGAGAGGGACGACAGAGACACUCUGAUGCCAUCUUGUGGCUGAAGACAAACAUCACUUUGGAAAUGAUUUGUGUACCUUUGUUUUCUAUGAACAAUUUAUGAAGGACUGAUGACAAUACUGAAAAUUAAAGUUCAUUCACUACUGUUUUGACAAUUUAGAAUUGAAGACAUAAUCUGAUACAUGAUUCAAAACCAUAAUUUUAUCAUUCUACAGUCAAAUUAGAGGACUGCCAUUAGACUGAUGGUAAAUUAGUUUGAUAAUCCUGACAAAAGAGCAACAGUUUAAGACUUGCAUAUCCAGAAAUAGGAAAUGAGAGCGUUUUAGGCAUUUGAAAGUAGAAUUCGGUGUCACAUCCUAUUUAGAUGCAGACUGCAAAGAGAGUUGUUCUGAAGUUUACCAGCUUUGGGUAAAUGAAAUAAAUUGAUUUAGAACACAUUUUGGUCGUCAGUGCUGGUUUGUAAAUGACAAUAAACUACACUGCCUGUCCAGAAACAAAGUCGCCACCUGGACUUAACUAAACAAAUAGAUAAGAGCCUUCCACUGGAUAAUUAUAGCAGUUAUUUAACCCUAGCUGAUGCAGUGAGGAGCUUCUCAUUUCUUAAACAGCCAUGUUGGAAGACAUAUACUGUGGUCAUGGAAAGGAUGUUAAUCUGUCUCAGAAGGGUCAAAUUAUUGGCCUGUAUCAAGCAAAGAAAACAACUAAGGAGAUGAAACUACUAAAAUCAGGUUAAGAACUGUCCAACGAAUUAUUAAAACCUGAAGGAUAGUGGAGAACCAUCAUCUUCCAGGUACAAAUGUGGUUCUAACAAACUCUUAGAUGAUCGCAGGAAAUCGACAGUAGAACUCGCAGCAUUUUCACAUGCACAAUGCAAAGAAGUGGUUCAGGGAGCAUGAGACGUCAUUUUCACUAAUGGACUGUCCAUACAGUCCAGAUCUCAGCCCCACUGAGAAUCUUCUGGAUGUUCUGGAGAAGACUUCAUACAGCGGUCCGACUCUCCCAUCAUCAAUACAAGGUCUUGGCAGAAAAUUAAUCCAACUCUGGACAGAAAUAAAUGCUGUGACAUUGAAGAAGCUCACCAAAAUGAUGAAACAGCAAAUGUGUGCCAUACCCAAAGCUAAAGGCAGUCCAACAAAAUAUUAGAGUGUGCAACUUUUUUUUUUUUAAAUCAAAAUCCA